This is a non-coding RNA of Lactuca sativa (garden lettuce), 502 nucleotides long. The record is from RefSeq and is a predicted model, not a curated record. NCBI's taxonomy places the organism in Eukaryota, Viridiplantae, Streptophyta, Magnoliopsida, Asterales, Asteraceae.
AGGUAUGAUUUGGUUUGGAUGUGCUUUCAAGUUUCAAAUUAAGAGAUAAGUUUAAGGUUUCAAAAUAAGAGAUUAAUUUUCUGAGAAAGUCCAUAUUUGGUUUUUGUAAUUUUGUAGCUUGGAAGAGGUUUCAAACUACUAACCUUCAUGGAGUAGCUGGCAUAAACUUCAAAAUUUUUAGUUGUUGUAAUUACUACUAUUACCACUACGAAGGAGAAAUCGCCUAUCUCAAUUUUUGGAUCUGAUCUAACAAUUUACCAACAGGUCCUUCUUUCUAUCCUUCCGGUUCUACCAUGGCAUUUUCUUUAGUGACAUGGAUUGCAUGGAAGUUGUUUACCGGGCAGCCCAUAGAUCAUCCAAAAGAAAAUCGUAUGAUAAGAUCAGAUUUCAAAAGAUGGAUUGUAGUAAUUAAAGUUCAGUUUGCCCUUUAAGAUCAUUUGAAGAUGAGGGCAUUCUUUUUCAUGUUCAAAUUUAUGAAUAAUUAUAAUAAUAAUAUUUAUUG